Molecule: non-coding RNA, 544 nt
Organism: Salvelinus sp. IW2-2015
Lineage: Eukaryota; Metazoa; Chordata; Actinopteri; Salmoniformes; Salmonidae
Source: RefSeq, a predicted model, not a curated record
UUAACAAGGUUUGUGUUUCAAUCUUUCAGCAGUCUGCUGACUCUGAGCAGAACAUUACCUACAGCACUGUGAGUCACAUCAGAGGAUCAACACAACAGGGCCUAAACCCUGAGAGCCACGGUGACUUGUACAGCACUGUGAUUCCUAAGCAGCACAGGACAGCACAAAGGGCAGCAGAACCAGGUGAUGUGGUCUACAGCACAAUGGCCCAACACCAGAGAUAGCAGGAGGCAACAGAACAACAGAGACUGAGUGUAGUCCCUCCAAAUUACAAAUAGGCCUUGUUCCAUUUUACUCCCUAGCUCUUACCUCUUUGGGGGCUACUGAUCUGGAAGGACUGAAUAAGACUAAUGCCUGUCUAUCACAGUCUUGUUCUUUUCCAUUGUGAAGGCUCUGCUGGCUUAAUUAUGCCAGUGAUUGUGUAUUCUAGACAAAGGCAGAUUAAUUGAGUGUAAUUUUUGAUUUUCUGAAGUUUAAUGUACACACUGAUCAUGUGUAUUUCAAUGCUUCAUAUCUGAAAUAAACUACUUUAACAAGAAACUUA